This 61-nucleotide transfer RNA is filed under the name Hemidactylus alkiyumii. RNAcentral describes it as "tRNA-Ser". Lineage: Eukaryota; Metazoa; Chordata; Lepidosauria; Squamata; Gekkonidae. The record is from RNAcentral.
GAGAGAGUUUUAACUAGCCUGCUAACCUAGUACUCCAAAAUUAACCCCUUGGCCCUCUCCA